AUUAAACGCUGGCGGCAUGCCUUACACAUGCAAGUCGAACGGCAGCACGGGGGCAACCCUGGUGGCGAGUGGCGGACGGGUGAGUAAAGCAUCGGAACGUAUCCUGGAGUGGGGGGAUAACGUAGCGAAAGUUACGCUAAUACCGCAUGUUCUGUGAGCAGGAAAGCAGGGGGAUCGCAAGACCUUGCGCUCUGGGAGCGGCCGAUGUCGGAUUAGCUAGUUGGUGGGGUAAAGGCCUACCAAGGCGACGAUCCGUAGCGGGUCUGAGAGGAUGAUCCGCCACACUGGGACUGAGACACGGCCCAGACUCCUACGGGAGGCAGCAGUGGGGAAUUUUGGACAAUGGGCGCAAGCCUGAUCCAGCCAUGCCGCGUGAGUGAAGAAGGCC
Molecule: ribosomal RNA, 388 nt
Filed under: uncultured bacterium
Lineage: Bacteria
Description: bacterial SSU rRNA
Rfam family: Bacterial small subunit ribosomal RNA
Source: RNAcentral